UACGGCCAUUUCACGUUGGAACAUCGGUUCCCGUACGAUCACCGAAGUUAAACAACGUCGUGCCUAGUCAACACUAAAAUGGGUAACCGCUUGAGAAUACAAGACGCUGUAAG
Molecule: non-coding RNA, 113 nt
Organism: Acanthosepion pharaonis
Lineage: Eukaryota; Metazoa; Mollusca; Cephalopoda; Sepiida; Sepiidae
Source: the annotation of a GenBank genome assembly